This 137-nucleotide ribosomal RNA is filed under the name Nannospalax galili (Upper Galilee mountains blind mole rat). Lineage: Eukaryota; Metazoa; Chordata; Mammalia; Rodentia; Spalacidae. The record is from RNAcentral.
GUUCACAGCCAUAUCACCCUGAAUGCACCUUGAAUACACCUAUCUCAUCUGAUCUUGCGAGUUAAGCAGGGUUAAGCCUGGUUAGUACUGGAUGGGAUUAAAAUAGAUUGGCAAUUAAGGAGCUAGGGCUCUAAAUU